RNAcentral lists this transfer RNA (75 nucleotides) under Cordylochernes scorpioides. RNAcentral describes it as "tRNA-Thr". It matches the Rfam family "tRNA". From Rfam's summary of the family: Transfer RNA (tRNA) molecules are approximately 80 nucleotides in length. Their secondary structure includes four short double-helical elements and three loops (D, anti-codon, and T loops). Further hydrogen bonds mediate the characteristic L-shaped molecular structure. tRNAs have two regions of fundamental functional importance: the anti-codon, which is responsible for specific mRNA codon recognition, and the 3' end, to which the tRNAs corresponding amino acid is attached (by aminoacyl-tRNA synthetases). tRNAs cope with the degeneracy of the genetic code in two manners: having more than one tRNA (with a specific anti-codon) for a particular amino acid; and 'wobble' base-pairing, i.e. permitting non-standard base-pairing at the 3rd anti-codon position. Lineage: Eukaryota; Metazoa; Arthropoda; Arachnida; Pseudoscorpiones; Chernetidae. The record is from RNAcentral.
GUCCAGGGUAGCCUAGUGGUCAUGGCAUCUGCCCGGUAAGCGGAAGGUCGUGGGUUCGAUUCCCAUCCCUUGACG